Molecule: ribosomal RNA, 468 nt
Filed under: uncultured bacterium
Lineage: Bacteria
Description: partial 16S ribosomal RNA
Rfam family: Bacterial small subunit ribosomal RNA
Source: RNAcentral
GACGAACGCUGGCGGCGUGCUUAACGCAUGCAAGUCGAACGGAAAGGCCCUGCUUUUGUGGGGUGCUCGAGUGGCGAACGGGUGAGUAACACGUGAGUAACCUGCCCUUGACUUUGGGAUAACUUCAGGAAACUGGGGCUAAUACCGGAUAGGAGCUCCUGCUGCAUGGUGGGGGUUGGAAAGUUUCGGCGGUUGGGGAUGGACUCGCGGCUUAUCAGCUUGUUGGUGGGGUAGUGGCUUACCAAGGCUUUGACGGGUAGCCGGCCUGAGAGGGUGACCGGCCACAUUGGGACUGCGAUACGGCCCAGAAUCCUACGGGAGGCAGCAGUGGGGAAUAUUGCACAAUGGGCGGAAGCCUGAUGCAGCAACGCCGCGUGCGGGAUGACGGCCUUCGGGUUGUAAACCGCUUUCGCCUGUGACGAAGCGUGAGUGACGGUAAUGGGUAAAGAAGCACCGGCUAACUACGUG